GACGAACGCUGGCGGCGUGCCUAAUACAUGCAAGUAGAACGCUGAAGGAGGAGCUUGCUUCUCUGGAUGAGUUGCGAACGGGUGAGUAACGCGUAGGUAACCUGCCUGGUAGUGGGGGAUAACUAUUGGAAACGAUAGCUAAUACCGCAUAAUAGCAGUUGUUGCAUGAUAACUGUUUGAAAGGUGCAAUUGCACCGCUACCAGAUGGACCUGCGUUGUAUUAGCUAGUUGGUGGGGUAACGGCUCACCAAGGCGACGAUACAUAGCCGACCUGAGAGGGUGAUCGGCCACACUGGGACUGAGACAAGGCCCAGACUCCUACGGGAGGCAGCAGUAGGGAAUCUUCGGCAAUGGACGGAAGUCUGACCGAGCAACGCCGCGUGAGUGAAGAAGGUUUUCGGAUCGUAAAGCUCUGUUGUAAGAGAAGAACGAGUGUGAGAGUGGAAAGUUCACACUGUGACGGUAUCUUACCAGAAAGGGACGGCUAACUACGUG
Molecule: ribosomal RNA, 495 nt
Filed under: uncultured bacterium
Lineage: Bacteria
Description: partial 16S ribosomal RNA
Rfam family: Bacterial small subunit ribosomal RNA
Source: RNAcentral